UGGGGAAUAUUGCACAAUGGGCGCAAGCCUGAUGCAGCCAUGCCGCGUGUGUGAAGAAGGCCUUCGGGUUGUAAAGCACUUUCAGCGAGGAGGAAGGUGGUGAGCUUAAUACGCUCAUCAAUUGACGUUACUCGCAGAAGAAGCACCGGCUAACUCCGUGCCAGCAGCCGCGGUAAUACGGAGGGUGCAAGCGUUAAUCGGAAUUACUGGGCGUAAAGCGCACGCAGGCGGUUUGUUAAGUCAGAUGUGAAAUCCCCGGGCUCAACCUGGGAACUGCAUUUGAAACUGGCAAGCUAGAGUCUCGUAGAGGGGGGUAGAAUUCCAGGUGUAGCGGUGAAAUGCGUAGAGAUCUGGAGGAAUACCGGUGGCGAAGGCGGCCCCCCUGGACGAAGACUGACGCUCAGGUGCGAAAGCGUGGGGCAGCAAACAGGAUUAGAUACCCUGGUAGUCCAGCGCUGUAAACGAUGUCGAUUUGGAGGUUGUGCCCUUGAGGCGUGGCUUCCGGAGCUAACGCGUUAAAUCGACCGCCUGGGGGAGUAC
This 540-nucleotide ribosomal RNA is filed under the name uncultured bacterium. RNAcentral describes it as "partial 16S ribosomal RNA". It matches the Rfam family "Bacterial small subunit ribosomal RNA", at positions 355 to 883 of the family's 1533-position model. The record is from RNAcentral.